This 730-nucleotide ribosomal RNA is filed under the name bacterium SCSIO13064. Its description in RNAcentral is "bacterial SSU rRNA". It matches the Rfam family "Bacterial small subunit ribosomal RNA", at positions 76 to 820 of the family's 1533-position model. The record is from RNAcentral.
CAGCUUGCUGGGUGGAUUAGUGGCGAACGGGUGAGUAACACGUGAGUAACCUGCCCUUGACUCUGGGAUAAGCCCGGGAAACUGGGUCUAAUACUGGAUAGGAACGUCCACCGCAUGGUGGUUGUUGGAAAGAUUUAUCGGUCAUGGAUGGACUCGCGGCCUAUCAGCUUGUUGGUGAGGUAAUGGCUCACCAAGGCGACGACGGGUAGCCGGCCUGAGAGGGUGACCGGCCACACUGGGACUGAGACACGGCCCAGACUCCUACGGGAGGCAGCAGUGGGGAAUAUUGCACAAUGGGCGAAAGCCUGAUGCAGCGACGCCGCGUGAGGGAUGACGGCCUUCGGGUUGUAAACCUCUUUCAGUAGGGAAGAAGCGAAAGUGACGGUACCUGCAGAAGAAGCACCGGCUAACUACGUGCCAGCAGCCGCGGUAAUACGUAGGGUGCGAGCGUUAUCCGGAAUUAUUGGGCGUAAAGAGCUCGUAGGCGGUUUGUCGCGUCUGUCGUGAAAGUCCGGGGCUUAACCCCGGAUCUGCGGUGGGUACGGGCAGACUAGAGUGCAGUAGGGGAGACUGGAAUUCCUGGUGUAGCGGUGGAAUGCGCAGAUAUCAGGAGGAACACCGAUGGCGAAGGCAGGUCUCUGGGCUGUAACUGACGCUGAGGAGCGAAAGCAUGGGGAGCGAACAGGAUUAGAUACCCUGGUAGUCCAUGCCGUAAACGUUGGGCACUAGG